This 468-nucleotide ribosomal RNA is filed under the name uncultured bacterium. RNAcentral describes it as "partial 16S ribosomal RNA". It matches the Rfam family "Bacterial small subunit ribosomal RNA", at positions 28 to 507 of the family's 1533-position model. The record is from RNAcentral.
GACGAACGCUGGCGGCGUGCUUAACACAUGCAAGUCGAACGGAAAGGCCCUGCUUUUGUGGGGCGCUCGAGUGGCGAACGGGUGAGUAACACGUGAGUACCCCGCCCUUGUUUGGGAGAUAACUUCAGGAAACUGGGGAUUAUACCGGAGAGGACCUCCUGCUGCAGGGUGUGGGAUGGUAAGUUUCGGCGGUUGGGGAUGGACUCCCGGCUUGUCCGCUUGUUGGUGGGGUAGCGGCUUACCAAGGCUUUGACGGGUAGCCGGCCUGAGAGGGUGACCGGCAACAUUGGAACUGAGAUAGGGCCCGGACUCCUACGGAAGGCAGAAGUGGGAAAUGUAGCACAAUGGGCGGAAGCCUGAUGCAGCAACGCAGGGUGCGGGAUAAGGGCCUUCGGGUUGUAACCCGUUUUCGCCUGUGACGAAGCGUUAGUGACGGUAAUGGGUAAAGAAGCACCGGCUAACUACGUG